GAUGAACGCUGGCGGCGUGCCUAAUACAUGCAAGUCGAGCGAACGGACGAGGAGCUUGCUCCUCUGACGUUAGCGGCGGACGGGUGAGUAACACGUGGAUAACCUACCUAUAAGACUGGGAUAACUUCGGGAAACCGGAGCUAAUACCGGAUAAUAUAUUGAACCGCAUGGUUCAAUAGUGAAAGACGGUUUUGCUGUCACUUAUAGAUGGAUCCGCGCCGCAUUAGCUAGUUGGUAAGGUAACGGCUUACCAAGGCAACGAUGCGUAGCCGACCUGAGAGGGUGAUCGGCCACACUGGAACUGAGACACGGUCCAGACUCCUACGGGAGGCAGCAGUAGGGAAUCUUCCGCAAUGGGCGAAAGCCUGACGGAGCGACGCCGCGUGAGUGAUGAAGGUCUUCGGAUCGUAAAACUCUGUUAUUAGGGAAGAACAAAUGUGUAAGUAACUAUGCACGUCUUGACGGUACCUAAUCAGAAAGCCACGGCUAACUACGUG
RNAcentral lists this ribosomal RNA (497 nucleotides) under uncultured bacterium. RNAcentral describes it as "partial 16S ribosomal RNA". It matches the Rfam family "Bacterial small subunit ribosomal RNA", at positions 28 to 507 of the family's 1533-position model. The record is from RNAcentral.